Molecule: ribosomal RNA, 436 nt
Filed under: Gordonia terrae
Lineage: Bacteria; Bacillati; Actinomycetota; Actinomycetes; Mycobacteriales; Gordoniaceae
Description: bacterial SSU rRNA
Rfam family: Bacterial small subunit ribosomal RNA
Source: RNAcentral
GAGGCAGCAGUGGGGAAUAUUGCACAAUGGGCUCAAGCCUGAUGCAGCGACGCCGCGUGAGGGAUGACGGCCUUCGGGUUGUAAACCUCUUUCACCAGGGACGAAGCGUGAGUGACGGUACCUGGAGAAAAAACACCGGCCAACUACGUGCCAGCAGCCGCGGAUAAUACGUAGGGUGCCAGCGUUGUCCCGGAAUUACUGGGCGUAAAGAGCUCGUAGGCGGUUUGUCGCGUCGUCUGUGAAAUUCUGCAACUCAAUUGUAGGCGUGCAGGCGAUACGGGCAGACUUGAGUACUACAGGGGAGACUGGAAUUCCUGGUGUAGCGGUGAAAUGCGCAGAUAUCAGGAGGAACACCGGUGGCGAAGGCGGGUCUCUGGGUAGUAACUGACGCUGAGGAGCGAAAGCGUGGGUAGCGAACAGGAUUAGAUACCCUGGU